UACGAAGGGGGCUAGCGUUGCUCGGAAUCACUGGGCGUAAAGCGCACGUAGGCGGAUCUUUAAGUCAGGGGUGAAAUCCUGGAGCUCAACUCCAGAACUGCCUUCGAUACUGGAGAGCUCGAGUCCGGGAGAGGUGAGUGGAACUGCGAGUGUAGAGGUGAAAUUCGUAGAUAUUCGCAAGAACACCAGUGGCGAAGGCGGCUCACUGGCCCGAUACUGACGCUGAGGCACGAAAGCGUGGGGAGCAAACAGG
This 253-nucleotide ribosomal RNA is filed under the name uncultured bacterium. RNAcentral's name for it is "partial 16S ribosomal RNA". It matches the Rfam family "Bacterial small subunit ribosomal RNA", at positions 524 to 776 of the family's 1533-position model. The record is from RNAcentral.